AAAUGAUGAUUCGGGCAAUUUUGUUGGAGAUCCUUGAAUCUUUCCCAAACUUCAUACAAGGAUUCCCCAUUAUGUUGGAGGAAGUCAAUGAUCUCCGUGGUUAACCG
Molecule: small nucleolar RNA, 107 nt
Organism: Mercurialis annua (annual mercury)
Lineage: Eukaryota; Viridiplantae; Streptophyta; Magnoliopsida; Malpighiales; Euphorbiaceae
Source: RefSeq, a predicted model, not a curated record